RNAcentral lists this ribosomal RNA (253 nucleotides) under uncultured bacterium. RNAcentral's name for it is "partial 16S ribosomal RNA". It matches the Rfam family "Bacterial small subunit ribosomal RNA", at positions 524 to 776 of the family's 1533-position model. The record is from RNAcentral.
UACGAAGGGGGCUAGCGUUGUUCGGAAUUACUGGGCGUAAAGGGCGCGUAGGCGGUGUGUCAAGUCAGGCGUGAAAGCCCCGGGCUCGACCUGGGAACCGCGCUUGAGACUGGCACGCUCGAGUUCGGGAGAGGAUGGUGGAAUUCCCAGUGUAGAGGUGAAAUUCGUAGAUAUUGGGAAGAACACCGAUGGCGAAGGCAGCCAUCUGGACCGACACUGACGCUGAGGCGCGAAAGCGUGGGGAGCAAACAGG